This 482-nucleotide ribosomal RNA is filed under the name uncultured bacterium. Its description in RNAcentral is "partial 16S ribosomal RNA". It matches the Rfam family "Bacterial small subunit ribosomal RNA", at positions 28 to 507 of the family's 1533-position model. The record is from RNAcentral.
GACGAACGCUGGCGGCGUGCUUAACACAUGCAAGUCGAACGCUGAAGCUCGGCUUGCUGGGUGGAUGAGUGGCGAACGGGUGAGUAACACGUGAGUAACCUGCCCUCUUCUUUGGGAUAACGCCCGGAAACGGGUGCUAAUACUGGAUAUUCACUGAUUCUCGCAUGGGGGUUGGUGGAAAGGUUUUUUCUGGUGGGGGAUGGGCUCGCGGCCUAUCAGCUUGUUGGUGGGGUGAUGGCCUACCAAGGCUUUGACGGGUAGCCGGCCUGAGAGGGUGACCGGUCACAUUGGGACUGAGAUACGGCCCAGACUCCUACGGGAGGCAGCAGUGGGGAAUAUUGCACAAUGGGCGAAAGCCUGAUGCAGCGACGCCGCGUGAGGGAUGGAGGCCUUCGGGUUGGAAACCUCUUUCGCUCAUGGUCAAGCCGCAGCGUUGGGUUGUGGUGAGGGUAGUGGGUAAAGAAGCGCCGGCUAACUACGUG